RNAcentral lists this ribosomal RNA (494 nucleotides) under uncultured bacterium. RNAcentral's name for it is "partial 16S ribosomal RNA". It matches the Rfam family "Bacterial small subunit ribosomal RNA", at positions 28 to 507 of the family's 1533-position model. The record is from RNAcentral.
GACGAACGCUGGCGGCGUGCUUAACACAUGCAAGUCGAACGGUGAAGCGCCUUCCUUUUUGGUGGGUGUGGAUGAGUGGCGAACUGGUGAGUAACACGUGAGUCACCUGCCCCCUUCUGCUGGAUAACCGCAUGAAAGUGUUGCUAAUACGGGAUAUUCUGAGUCUGUCGCAUGAUGGGUCUGGGAGAGAUUUUGUUUCGGUGGGGGAUGGGCUCGCGGCCUAUCAGCUUGUUGGUGGGGUGACGGCCUACCAAGGCGGUGACGGGUAGCCGGCCUGGGAGGGUCGGCGGCACCAGAGGGGAUGCGAGGCGGCGACGACUCCGAGAGGAGGCAGCAGGGGAGAAUAGGGCACAAGGGGCGGAAGGAUGAUGCAGCGACGCGGGGGGGGUGAUGGAGUCCGGCGGGUUGUGAACUUCUUUCGGGAGUGAAGAAGGCCGGCCUCGUGUGUGGGUGGGUUGACGGUAGCUGGAGAAGAAGCGCCGGCUAACUACGUG